Molecule: transfer RNA, 65 nt
Filed under: Dipodomys ordii (Ord's kangaroo rat)
Lineage: Eukaryota; Metazoa; Chordata; Mammalia; Rodentia; Heteromyidae
Rfam family: tRNA
About the family: Transfer RNA (tRNA) molecules are approximately 80 nucleotides in length. Their secondary structure includes four short double-helical elements and three loops (D, anti-codon, and T loops).
Source: Rfam by way of RNAcentral
GGUGGCUCAGUGAUAGAGCACUUGCCUCGAAUGCAUGAGGCCCUGGGUUUAAUUCCUCAGCACCA